GGAACAGUGUUCUGUGGUCGGGGGAGGACUAUAAAUGUCCAAGUGCCCAAAUAUCGCUCUCUUACAAGAAAUGGGAAGAGGAGUAGUGACGUGUUGGGUUUUCGUCUAUGAUUUUGCAACCAUGUUUGUCGACCAGACAUGGGAGGACUGCAAGCGGGGGGAAAUCCCUUUCGAUGAAGGCCUGCUGAUAAAGUGAAUGACGGCGUCUAAAGGACACAUCCUCUAAUUGGCCAAAUAAGAAUUUGCUGUUAUGUUGAAGGUGUAAUGGAGGCUGUGAGGCCGCUACCAUUUGGUUGAAAUUGAAAGAUCAAAGGAAUCAUGCUUAUUACAUGAUGCUGUGAUACCAUCUUUGAAGGUAAGAGCGUGGAAUUGUAUAGGUAAAUGGCAAAUGUGCUGUGAUGAGUUUUUUUAAUCACCUACUUAAUGUUUUGUGAAGAAUCUUCGGAACCCUGAGCACCACUCUUUAAUGGCAUACUGCUACCUUUUCGUGUCUGUUUGGCUCAUGUUUCCUUUGUCCUCCACAGAAAUGAAGACCAUGUAUCAGGGUGUUGAGUCUCUGGUUUUUAUGCCCUAAGUUGACAGGUAAUGCACACCUUACAUCUAAAGUGCUUCAUGCUGAUCGGGCUGUGCACUGAUGAGAGCUUGAUAGCUUUAACCCAGCUUUCUUACUGUUGGUGAAGACUUUCAAAAUCUGAGCACAGCUUGUAGUGACUUAUUGUCAAGUAUGUCCAUACUACACUAACUGAUGUUUAAUGUUUGCUUUUCAGAAAAAUCCUGACUCCUCUAAUUAAAGGUGCGUUUGGGUGGCCUAACCCUGUGAGCUACACAUGUCCUGUGCAGUGAUGAUUACUUAUCACCUACUGAAUGUCUAGUGAAGAACCUUCGGAACCCUGAGCACUACUGAGUCAUUAUGGGUUCUUUUUAUGUGGGCCGCAUGUUGCUCAUUAACUUUCUCCACUUUUCCAGGAAUUUACAUGGAAUGGUGAUACUUGGUCUCUUGCUGCAGUGGAUGUCAAAGCAAGGUAAGGUACUUCAGUGAUUUCUAAUUGUAUUAGCAUGUACAUCGGCCUGUGCGCUGAUGAAAGCUUUAUAGCUUUAACCCAGCUUUCUUACUGUUGGUGAAGACUUUUAACCUCUGAGCACACUUUAAAAUGGCUUUAAUGGUUGCUAAUGUCUACUAUUGGUACUAAUUUGGUCUCUAACUUUCAGGAGGUCAUGCUGAUCUUCUGGUAUGCUGCUGGACUAUCGGUGAGGAAAUGUUAUUUAUAGUGAAACACUCAAGUGCUGUGCAGUGAUGAUUACUUAUCACCUACUGAAUGUCUAGUGAAGAACCUUCGGAACCCUGAGCGCAUUACAUUUCCUGAUGGACUUGUACUGUAUUGUGUCUAGAUGGCUCAUUUGUUUUGUCUUCCACAGGUGCAUGAUGCUGCUUUACCCGGUUCUGAUGUCUGGAAUUUAUUGAAAGGUAAUGCGCAUGACCACUGACAUGUUUUAUUUUAACCCAAGCUGUACUCAAAAUCACAACAGAGGCUUUUUCCUCUUUGGUGAUCUCUUUUCCUUGGGAGAGUAACACAGGACUUUGGCACAGUUUGACGUAGUCUCAAUCUACAACAAUCUGACUAGAAGACCUGAGACACUUGUUUGCAAUAUGGUCACAUUUAUACUGAAACCUCUUGUAAUUUUUUUUAAUUGAGUCUUGUUUGUUGAUGUUUACAGGAAUGUUCUCUAGAUUCCAUCCUGCUGGAAAUGCUCUCUACUAAGAUGCGCUACUGCUCAUCACACCCCAGCUGGGUUCUUGUCCCUUAAUGCCAUGUAUUCCAGAAGACUCAAGGAAAAGAUUGAAUAAUAUGGAUCCUGGCAUGUCAGUGUUUGAGUUGAUUUGCUGCAUUAUUGGGCUCUGUGCCCUUGAAUUAAAUGUAAAGUGAAAUAAAUGUUUAUUCAAAGUG
This is a long non-coding RNA of Esox lucius (northern pike), 1946 nucleotides long. The record is from Ensembl. Lineage: Eukaryota; Metazoa; Chordata; Actinopteri; Esociformes; Esocidae.